CAAUAGCCGCGGGAAUACGAAGGGUGCAAGCGUUAAUCGGAAUUACUGGGCGUAAAGCGUGCGUAGGCGGUGAGUUAAGUCUGCUGUGAAAUCCCCGGGCUCAACCUGGGAAUGGCAGUGGAUACUGGCAAGCUAGAGUGUGUCAGAGGAUGGUGGAAUUCCCGGUGUAGCGGUGAAAUGCGUAGAGAUCGGGAGGAACAUCAGUGGCGAAGGCGGCCAUCUGGGACAACACUGACGCUGAGGCACGAAAGCGUGGGGAGCAAACAGGAUUAGAUACCCGUGUAGUCCCUGUCUCUUAUAA
RNAcentral lists this ribosomal RNA (301 nucleotides) under uncultured bacterium. Its description in RNAcentral is "partial 16S ribosomal RNA". It matches the Rfam family "Bacterial small subunit ribosomal RNA", at positions 509 to 809 of the family's 1533-position model. The record is from RNAcentral.